UACGUAGGUGGCAAGCGUUGUCCGGAUUUACUGGGUGUAAAGGGCGUGUAGCCGGGCUGACAAGUCAGAUGCGAAACCCGGGGGCUCAACCCCCGAACUGCAUUUGAAACUGUUGGUCUUGAGUAUCGGAGAGGCAGGCGGAAUUCCUAGUGUAGCGGUGAAAUGCGUAGAUAUUAGGAGGAACACCAGUGGCGAAGGCGGCCUGCUGGACGACAACUGACGGUGAGGCGCGAAAGCGUGGGGAGCAAACAGG
Molecule: ribosomal RNA, 253 nt
Filed under: uncultured bacterium
Lineage: Bacteria
Description: partial 16S ribosomal RNA
Rfam family: Bacterial small subunit ribosomal RNA
Source: RNAcentral